GGCAAAAAGGAGGCGCGCGAGUGGACGCUAGGCGGGCCGAGUGAAGACUGACAACUGAGCCACGCCCACAGAGCUCAUCGUUACCUGGUUAGCUCAGGCUAAGGAGCUAGGCUAAAUGCUACCCGUGACUGCUAACCGGCUAGCGCUGCGGUGUUGUUGCUCCGGGAUGGUCGCGGUCGUAACAUCGAACCGAACAGAGUACAUCAGUUUGGCUGAAAUCUGGGGUGCUUCCACUUGCUGAACACAGAAUAAACUCACUGCAACACCUGAUGUCCUCAGAAUCCACUGUGGCAGCAGCAACAUGGUGGAGAUCAGCAGCUUCAGGCUGGUCAACAUGWUAAUAAUAUUGAGUCAAUUUCUAUAUCCAUUGUGGUUGGCAAAAUUAACACUAUCACAACAAUGUUCAUCUUUUACUUUCUGAUUUGAGAAACCUUAGAUAAAAAGUGUUGUCUUUUCUUUUUUGCCAUAAGAGACAGAACACGGUCAGCACAGCUGUGUCCCACAGGUUCGUCCGUCCCUAAUAAAAUGACAGGAAACAUAAAAGUAUGGCAUUAUUGCAGAGAUAAGUUACAUUCAAACAAAGUCUGUGUCCUUAUAUUCUGUGGAUAUUCAAGUAUGUAUCUGAAUAUGGUUUGGGAUUAAACAGUGUACUACAAUGAAUGUGCAGUAUGGAGUUCUUUCACAUUAAAAGUAUUGCAUAUAUAAUGUAAUGCAUCAUGUGCAAUAAUUUGCUUUAAUUGUUAGUAAGUUAU
Non-coding RNA from Paralichthys olivaceus (Japanese flounder), 752 nucleotides. Lineage: Eukaryota; Metazoa; Chordata; Actinopteri; Pleuronectiformes; Paralichthyidae. The record is from RefSeq and is a predicted model, not a curated record.